This 407-nucleotide ribosomal RNA is filed under the name Verrucomicrobiota bacterium. RNAcentral describes it as "Verrucomicrobia bacterium partial 16S ribosomal RNA". It matches the Rfam family "Bacterial small subunit ribosomal RNA", at positions 355 to 776 of the family's 1533-position model. Lineage: Bacteria; Pseudomonadati; Verrucomicrobiota. The record is from RNAcentral.
UGGGGAAUAUUGGACAAUGGAGGCAACUCUGAUCCAGCAAUUCUGUGUGUGUGAAGAAGGUUUUAGGACUGUAAAGCACUUUUAGUAGGGAAGAAAGAAAUGACGGUACCUACAGAAGAAGCGACGGCUAAAUACGUGCCAGCAGCCGCGGUAAUACGUAUGUCGCGAGCGUUAUCCGGAAUUAUUGGGCUUAAAGGGCAUCUAGGCGGUAAGACAAGUUGAAGGUGAAAACCUGUGGCUCAACCAUAGGCUUGCCUACAAAACUGUUGAACUAGAGUACUGGAAAGGUGGGUGGAACUACACGAGUAGAGGUGAAAUUCGUAGAUAUGUGUAGGAAUGCCGAUGAUGAAGAUAACUCACUGGACAGAAACUGACGCUGAAGUGCGAAAGCUAGGGGAGCAAACAGG